GUUUUUCGCUACCGCAGGAGACAAAACAGGAAGUAGUUUGGUUGUUAGCUAUCUACUGUUUUUGACCAUCCUGUAAUCAACUUCCAUCCUUCAUCAUCCUGUCUUUCGUAGCCCUUAUGCCGGCACCACCUAGACCCCCGACAUACUGUAAGAAGACUGGAGGCCAUUGUUUGUUAAGUGAUGGAGAAAUGUGGCUGCAACGCAAAAGAGAAUCUGAAUGAAGACGAGGCCUCAAAGGGAUUAACAAAAAUGCAAUUACGUUUGUAUAAGCUUAUUUAUUGUAUGAUUAUAUAACUACAGCUAAUAACUUGAGGAAAUGGCAUGUGCACUAGUCUAGU
Molecule: long non-coding RNA, 338 nt
Organism: Oncorhynchus tshawytscha (Chinook salmon)
Lineage: Eukaryota; Metazoa; Chordata; Actinopteri; Salmoniformes; Salmonidae
Source: Ensembl